AGACCCCCCCCCUUCCCUAUUCCUUUGCCAAAUGAGCCACCGGGGCUGCACCCUUUGUGGGCUGCGAAGACCCCUCAGGUGAGAAUCAAAGCACCCUGGGAUGCUCAAGUGCAAUGAGUUGGGGUCAUGGGGGCAGCUCCAGGAUGGGCUCUUGGACCCCUUCCCCUCCCUCCAGCUCCCUAUGCAGCAGCAGAGCGGUGAGGACGGCCCCAUAUGGCAGCAUGGGGUCCCUCCUGGCUGCACCCGCACUGCCCACAGCCCAGCGGGUCAGGUGCAGCGUCUGCAGAAAAGUUGUGUUUGAUUUUGAAAUGCUGAAGGCUGCACAAUUCCAGCCCCACUUCUGGACGGAUCAGCAGAAAACUUGCUUGCUUUGGGAAGACUUGUGCGAGCCGGAGCGAUGCCAGCAGAGCGCGGGAGCAAAGAGCUGCCCACAGCAGCACCCAGCACCCACCCAACAUGAGAGCUCCAUUGGGGGACAGUGUCCCCUCCUUGCUCCAUCACUCUGCAGCCAAUGUGUGCAAACAGCAAGCGGCACCCCCAGCUCCAAGGGUCCCCUUGCAAAAGGUGAGGGGCUCUAGGACACCCCCAGUCCCAUAUAUCCCCAUGGCACAGCAACCCGAUGCAGGUGGGACCCCCAUGGCACAGCAACCCAAUGCAGGUGGGACCCCCAUGACACAGCAGGGUGGGACCCCCAGAUGGGGAAGGCAGCCAUGCAGCCACGCUGUUGAUCCUGCACUAAAUCACUACGAUGGUGACAACGUGAGCCUGUUUUCCUGCUAUUAGAGAUGCUGUGACACAACAACAUCUUGGAGCACGAUGAAAUGGAUGUGAGGAGAUGGUGCCGUGCUGCUCGGCUCUAACAAGCAGGAUUUGGUGUUUUCAUAACCUGGAAUUGCAUUGUGCAUCACUGUGAUGCUCCCACACGGCUGUGGCACAGCAGGAGUGAGCUCAGCUCAGAAUCACCCACAGCACCAGGUCGUGUGUGCACAGAGGGCACAGCGGGACCAACAGACACGGCACAGUGUGACCAAUGGACGUGGCACAGCAGGACCGAUGGACAGAGCAGCAGUGCGAGGUGAGAUGGCUGAGAUCCUUGGGGAAACCAAGAGCAGGUGGGAAGGAAAUGGAGCAUCGCGGGCACAGGGCAACGCAAAGGGAUCCAGCAGGAG
This is a non-coding RNA of Coturnix japonica (Japanese quail), 1169 nucleotides long. NCBI's taxonomy places the organism in Eukaryota, Metazoa, Chordata, Aves, Galliformes, Phasianidae. The record is from RefSeq and is a predicted model, not a curated record.